Molecule: ribosomal RNA, 403 nt
Filed under: Fusobacteriota bacterium
Lineage: Bacteria; Fusobacteriati; Fusobacteriota
Description: Fusobacteria bacterium partial 16S ribosomal RNA
Rfam family: Bacterial small subunit ribosomal RNA
Source: RNAcentral
UGGGGAAUAUUGCACAAUGGAGGGAACUCUGAUGCAGCGACGCCGCGUGAGUGAUGAAGGACUUCGUUUCGUAAAACUCUGUUCUAUGGGAAGAAAAGGACUGUACCAUAGGAGAAAGCUCCGGCUAACUACGUGCCAGCAGCCGCGGUAAUACGUAGGGGGCAAGCGUUGUCCGGAAUCACUGGGCGUAAAGGGUUCGCAGGCGGAAAUGCAAGUCAGUUGUGAAAGGCAGAGGCUCAACCUCUGUAAGCAAUUGAAACUGUAUUUCUUGAGAUGUGGAGAGGCAAGUGGAAUUCCUAGUGUAGCGGUGAAAUGCGUAGAUAUUAGGAAGAAUACCGGUGGCGAAGGCGACUUGCUGGACACAAACUGACGCUGAGGAACGAAAGCGUGGGUAGCAAACAGG